CCUACGGGAGGCAGCAGUGGGGAAUAUUGGGCAAUGGAGGAAACUCUGACCCAGCAAUGCCGCGUGAAUGAAGAAGGUCUUCGGGUUGUAAAGUUCUUUAGUCAGGGAAGAAUAAAAGGACGGUACCGGAAGAAUAAGCUCCGGCUAACUACGUGACAGCAGCAGCGGUAAUACGUAGGGAGCAAGCGUUGUCCGGAAUGAAUGGGCGUAAAGGGUGCGUGGGCGGUUAUACAAGUUAGAAGUGAAAUACCCAGGGCUUAAACGGGGUGCUGCCUCUAAAACUGUAGGACUUGAGUGCAGUAGAGGUAAGUGGAAUUCCUAGUGUAGCGGUGAAAUGCGUAGAUAUUAGGAGGAAUACCAGAGGCGAAGGCGGCUAACUGGACUGCAACUGACGCUGAGGCACGAAAGUGUGGGGAGCAAACAGGAUUAGAUACCCCUGUAGUC
RNAcentral lists this ribosomal RNA (444 nucleotides) under uncultured bacterium. Its description in RNAcentral is "partial 16S ribosomal RNA". It matches the Rfam family "Bacterial small subunit ribosomal RNA", at positions 338 to 795 of the family's 1533-position model. The record is from RNAcentral.